Long non-coding RNA from Oryzias melastigma (Indian medaka), 1102 nucleotides. RefSeq lists it as uncharacterized. The transcript has 2 exons. The record is from RefSeq and is a predicted model, not a curated record. Lineage: Eukaryota; Metazoa; Chordata; Actinopteri; Beloniformes; Adrianichthyidae.
GUGUUCUUAAGACUAGCAUAUGUAGCCCAUGUGGUCUUUAUUUUAUUAAUUUUACCAAAAUCUGAUUUUCUAUCUUUAUUUUCUUAAUCUGAGAACGUUCUGGGCACAGACAUUUAUUUUGGUAGUUGCGCUACUUCCUGUCUGCUCGCGGCAUUCCCUUCAGUCUCUGGGGGAACGGCCGAGAGGAGGUUGUGCAGACAGUGAGACCAGAAGUGAUUUUUUUUUGUGUGUGUGUGCUGUAUGUGUUUUCACAGGUAUGUGAGCAUUUAUUUUGGAUAGAAAUAUUUUAUUAUCCUUUGCUUUUUCUUAUUUUAUUCAUAUUUACUUUCAGUAUAUUGUAAUGUACAGUUUUGUUAUUUACUUCAAUAUUUUGUGAUUUAAAAAAAUAUAAAUAUGCCAUUUGCUGAAAAAAAAAUGUUAAAGACUUUAAACUAUAUGAUCACACUGUAAAUUUUAUUUAAUGUAAUUUUGAAAUAUGCACAAUUCAGUCUCUGGGGGAACGGCCGAGAGGAGGUUGUGCAGACAGUGAGAUCAGAAGUGUUUUUUUGUGUGCUGUAUGUGUUUUCACAGUAAACCCUCAGUUUUUGUGGCAAUCCCUGUGUGAGACUCGUUUCUUAAAAACACAACGCAGACAAAUCUGGCCGGCGCUGUCAAGCAGCAAGAGAGCGACCGGCUACACAUACAAAAAGAAAAAAAAAAAAAACGCGUGUAGAAACACAAUGAAAGGAAACGUGUACAGAAACACACGUGCUAAAAAGACAAGCCUGUUCUUUUUUUAUUCCCAUUUUUAUACUUUAGUUAUUUAUUUUUUACUUUCCUUUUUAUUAUCAUUUUUCUCUUUUGGCAUUAGGCUUAAAACAGCCUGAUAUCAAAGAUAUCAAUCAAAUAUUAAAAAGGCUUACCACAGUUCUACCUGCUUUAACAGCUUCUAGUACCGCCGUCACCCAAAACCUGCAGCAGUUCUGGCUGAGAGCUUAGCUCUGAUAGAGAACGCCUCAAAGUGCACAUGAAGCUCACAUUGCUACUUUGAGGCGCCCUCUUCAGGCUCCAGCCAGAACUGCUGCAGAAGAAGUCCCUGCUCCAGAGAAAGCAAGGACAAAAC